UCCAGCCCCAGGGCCCAGGGAGGGGCUGGGCAGUCCCUGGAGGGACCCCCAUUUGCAUGGCAGCCCCUCCUCUGGCAGAGGGUGGGGGAGAAAAGGAGGCCUGGGCAGCCCAGCCCCACUGUGGGCUCAGGGCUGUGAGCACCAUGGCCUGGACUCCUCUGCUCCUCGCGCUCCUCUCUCACUGCACAGGGUCCCUCUCCCAGCCUGUGCUGACUCAGCUGCCCUCCCUCUCUGCAUCUCCGGGAGCCACAGCCACACUCACCUGCACCUUGAAAGGUGGCUCCAAUGUUGGCGUCUAUAACAUAAUCUGGUAUCAGCAGAACCCAGGGAGCCCUACCCGAUAUCUCCUGAGAUAUAAAUCAGACUCUGACAAGCACCAGGGUUCCGGGGUCCCCAGCCGCUUCUCUGGAUCCAAAGACGCCUCGGCCAAUGCGGGGCUCCUGACCAUCUCGGGGCUGCAGCCUGAGGACGAGGCUGAGUAUUUCUGUGCUGUAGAACAUGGCAGUGGGAGCGCUUUCAUUACACACAGUGUCCCAGAUGACGAGGAAGUGAGACCAAAACCCCUGGGCCCCGAGGUGGUGGCUCUGAGCCUCCAUUAG
Molecule: non-coding RNA, 599 nt
Organism: Myotis myotis
Lineage: Eukaryota; Metazoa; Chordata; Mammalia; Chiroptera; Vespertilionidae
Source: the annotation of a RefSeq genome assembly